This is a long non-coding RNA of Eublepharis macularius, 423 nucleotides long. RefSeq lists it as uncharacterized. The record is from RefSeq and is a predicted model, not a curated record. Lineage: Eukaryota; Metazoa; Chordata; Lepidosauria; Squamata; Eublepharidae. The transcript is spliced from 3 exons.
GCGUGCACGUGGGAGCUCGGGAGAGAGCGCUGCUGAGGCGGUCUUCUUUUCCUCGCCUGGGAAGCAAAUGGACUCCCGUGGACCGUAGGCUUGAGGGGCGAUGUAGUUGCACUGCGCGCAGUUCCCUUUCCCUCGAGUUGAGUGGGAGCUGCGAUCAAUGAGUAAGAUCACCUUUCACCCUCAGGUUUCAAUUAAGUGGAGAAAAUCUGAAUUGAUGCCAUUGGGAGACUAAGUCAUGGAGUGUAUUUGCUAAUGGACAUUUUUGAUGGUACAUAACUUGGAAUAUUGAUUGCUGAUAUAUCCGUGAAUUCGGAGAGACAGGCAAUUUUAAACCUGUCACUAUGAGAUUCUAGUGGGGCUUUCUGAAGUCAUCCAUCAUCUCAUGCCCAUCACACUGCUUGUUCCCAAGGACUGGUGCCUCUG